CGCACGGGUGAGUAACACGUGGGUAAUCUACCUUCAGGUCUGGGAUAACCCGGGGAAGCUCGGGCUAAUACCGGAUGAGACCACGAACCGGAAGGAACGUGGGAAAAGUGGGGUCUUUCUUCGGAAACCUCACGCCAGGGGAUGAGCUCGCGGCCCAUCAGCUUGUUGGCGGGGUAACGGCCCACCAAGGCUAAGACGGGUAGCUGGUCUGAGAGGAUGAUCAGCCACACUGGGACUGAGACACGGCCCAG
This 251-nucleotide ribosomal RNA is filed under the name uncultured bacterium. RNAcentral describes it as "partial 16S ribosomal RNA". It matches the Rfam family "Bacterial small subunit ribosomal RNA", at positions 99 to 334 of the family's 1533-position model. The record is from RNAcentral.